GCAACCGCGAAGAAAAUAACUUUAUUAGCCUAAUUACCGAGUUGUUAAGUGAGUUGCAAGGCACUACUUUCCGAUAUUGAUUUCUUCACAGAAGAAGGUCGUAUUAACUAAGAUUCGGGAUAGCAAUGAUUUGUGCUCGUCUGCUGUGGAAGAAUGCGAAGACAUUACUUCAAUAAUAAGGAAUCUGGGUGCUUCGAUACACAAAAACGAGCCCUGUCGAGUCCUAGUUCUACCUGUUGGAUUCGGUCAAGGACAACUUCAUAAACGUUUUGCAAACGAUUGUGAUCGGUGGUUCGAUCAAUUAGAUGUUUUCCGGAUUCGUCACGACGCAGGUUCCGUAUCCUGCGCGUCAAGUCAAUGUUGCAACGAGGCAUAAAGCUAGCUUCACUUAAUGCUAUCUGGGUUUUGUCAGUUUCAUGAUAUCUGUCGAAUGUGUUUGGCUGAGAAGUAAUUACAAGCUGGUUCUGUGAGAGGAUAAUGCCAUGGAUCAGACCCAAUCGAAGCAGGACCAGAUGUCGAUAGUUUAGAUAGUUCAAUAAAUGAAUAAAGAUGCAUACAAAAACUCAAUA
Molecule: long non-coding RNA, 569 nt
Organism: Toxorhynchites rutilus septentrionalis
Lineage: Eukaryota; Metazoa; Arthropoda; Insecta; Diptera; Culicidae
Exons: 3
Source: RefSeq, a predicted model, not a curated record